Long non-coding RNA from Xiphophorus hellerii (green swordtail), 1439 nucleotides. RefSeq lists it as uncharacterized. The transcript has 3 exons. The record is from RefSeq and is a predicted model, not a curated record. NCBI's taxonomy places the organism in Eukaryota, Metazoa, Chordata, Actinopteri, Cyprinodontiformes, Poeciliidae.
AACAAUGAAACAUUUAUUAAAAUUAUAUUUACAUACCUGAUUAAAGAUGCAAAAGGUGUUUCAAAACAGUGAUCAACGGCGCCGAUUGUCUCUUUUUUCCUGUUUAGAUUCACACUGUUUGUUGACCAGCAGCCACCUCCAUCCUGUAAGUAGCAACGUUUAGUCUGACUUGAGACUAAAAAUAUAAAACAUGGACAGCUGUAAUCUGUCUGUCUUUAUCUUUUAAAUCACAGCUGAAUGUGGUUUGUCAACACAGACUGUCCGGUGACUAAUAGCUGCAGCGAUGUCAGGUAUUUCUGUUCUUUGUUUCUUCAAAGAACCAAUGUGGCUUAUAUAAAAAGCUUGGUCUUCUUAUAUAGAAAAGAUUUUUGAACAAGCCUUUUUUUACAUGAAACAAUUUCUGUUUUAUGAAUGAUAUCUCUCUGACCAAUUAUCCAGCUUAAUUUAAAAGGGAAUUAUUUAAAUGCCAGUCGGUAAUCUCAGGUUUUAACAUAAAAAUAAGUCAGGUUAACCAUUAAAGAGACAUUUUAUUCUUGAAUUAAACCAAAAUGGUCAGCUGAGGAGAAGCUAAACAUCAAGAUGACAUCUAGUGAUGCAUGUGUUUUGCUUUGGAAAUGUUUAGUCAUGAAGCAGAAUGACAUCAACAAAUUCUUAAAAUUUUAUGGACACAUUAUGCAAGCAUUUGUGAUCAAAUCAGUUUCUUUUUAUGUUCCAUGUAGCCUGUUCUUUACUAUGUGUUGGUAUGAUAAAAUAAGGGGAUACCCAGGUUUUAUUUUUGUUUCAAUCAAAGGUUAACAUAAACAAAACUUAGGGAUGGUUAGAAAUAAUAUAAAGUGUUCAAGAACACAGGGAAAUAUCUGCAACAGGUGGGACACCAACUGCUGAGAACCAGACUUUGUUUUAGGGAAUUCACUUCUCUUUUUGACUAAAUAGAAAUGGGUCUCAUUUUCAUUUUUCUAUUUUAUGCCUGGAAUUUAUGUCAGCAUGCAAAAAUUGAAAAAAAAAGUCAUUUAAAAUAAGCUCAAUCUUAAUUUGGUUUGGCUUGAAUGAAUGGCUGAGUGGCUUAUUUCUACAAUUACAUUAAAGCAAUCAAGAGUAAAGAACAUGCCUGUAGAGAUGUGUAGAAUGAUAGGAUUCAUUUUAAGGCUUUAAUAUAAAAAGAAAAACAGCUGACAGAAAAUUGGCAAGCAACUUUGUUUGAUAUCAUCCAGUAUGACACAAAUAUUUAUGAAUCAGAAUCAUGUUUUAUUAAAUUAGUUCAACAUGUUAGUACCAUCAUUAGUCCAGAUCAUGAUUGUUUCAUACAAUAUCUGUAAAGUUUUUGGAUUAAAAAAACUGCUUAUAUUUUAACUGAAAUAAAACUCAAUGGGUGUCCAGUUUGUUUACUUGUUACUUCAUAUUAAGUCGUGUUCUAGAUUCAAACUCAGUGGAAUAAUCUU